RNAcentral lists this ribosomal RNA (247 nucleotides) under uncultured bacterium. RNAcentral's name for it is "partial 16S ribosomal RNA". It matches the Rfam family "Bacterial small subunit ribosomal RNA", at positions 523 to 769 of the family's 1533-position model. The record is from RNAcentral.
AUACGGGGGGUGCAAGCGUUGUUCGGAAUUAUUGGGCGUAAAGAGCGUGUAGGCGGCGUGAUAAGUCAGAUGUGAAAUCCCUGGGCUCAACCCAGGAAGUGCAUUUGAAACUGUCUCGCUUGAGUACGGGAGAGGGAAGAGGAAUUCCUGGUGUAGAGGUGAAAUUCGUAGAUAUCAGGAGGAACACCGGUGGCGAAGGCGACUUCCUGGCCCGAUACUGACGCUGAGACGCGAGAGCGUGGGGAGC